UCCCUGGUGGUCCGGUGGCUAAAACUCUGCACUCUCAAUGCAGGGGCCUGGGUUCAAUCCCUCGUCAGGGAA
This 72-nucleotide transfer RNA is filed under the name Bos taurus (domestic cattle). It matches the Rfam family "tRNA". Rfam says of the family: Transfer RNA (tRNA) molecules are approximately 80 nucleotides in length. RNAcentral also lists the same sequence under 4 other names. The record is from Rfam by way of RNAcentral. Lineage: Eukaryota; Metazoa; Chordata; Mammalia; Artiodactyla; Bovidae.